ACUGCUCAGUAACACGUGGACAACCUGCCCUUAGGUUGGGUAUAAACCCGGGAAACUGGGUAUAAUACCCGAUAGGUCUCGAUUGCUGGAAUGCAUCGAGAUUUAAAGCUCCGGCGCCUAAGGAUGGGUCUGCGGCCUAUCAGGUAGUUGUUGGGGUAACGGCCCAACAAGCCUUUGAUCGGUACGGGUUGUGGGAGCAAGAGCCCGGAGAUGGAUUCUGAGACACGAAUCCAGGCCCUACGGGGCGCAGCAGGCGCGAAAACUUUACAAUGCGGGAAACCGUGAUAAGGGAACUCCGAGUGUCCGUCAAUGCGGACUGUCCGUAUGUUUAAAAAGCAUGCGAAGAAAGGGCCGGGCAAGACCGGUGCCAGCCGCCGCGGUAAUACCGGCGGCUCGAGUGGUGGCCACUAUUACUGGGCUUAAAGCGUUCGUAGCUGGGUUGUUAAGUCUCUUGGGAAAUCUAUCGGCUUAACCGAUAGGCGUCCAAGGGAUACUGGCAAUCUAGGGACCGGGAGAGGUGGGGGGUACUUCAGGGGUAGGAGUGAAAUCCUGUAAUCCUUGGGGGACCACCUGUGGCGUAGGCGCCUCACCAGAACGGCUCCGACAGUGAGGGACGAAAGCUGGGGGAGCAAACCGGAUUAGAUACCCGGGUAGUCCCAGCCGUAAACGAUGCGCGUUAGGUGUAUCGAUGACCACGAGUCAUCGAGGUGCCGAAGGGAAACCGUGAAACGCGCCGCCUGGGAAGUACGGUCGCAAGGCUGAAACUUAAAGGAAUUGGCGGGGGAGCAC
Molecule: ribosomal RNA, 789 nt
Filed under: uncultured archaeon
Lineage: Archaea
Description: bacterial SSU rRNA
Rfam family: Archaeal small subunit ribosomal RNA
Source: RNAcentral